GUCCACGCCUUAAACGAUGAAUACUAAGUGUCGGCGGGUUACCGCCGGUGCCGCAGCUAACGCAGUAAGUAUUCCGCCUGGGAAGUACGGCCGCAAGGUUGAAACUCAAAGGAAUUGACGGGGGCCCGCACAAGCGGUGGAGCAUGUGGUUUAAUUCGACGCAACGCGAAGAACCUUACCCAGGCUGGACAUGCAGGUAGUAGAAGGGUGAAAGCCCGACGAGGUAGCAAUACCAUCCUGCUCAGGUGCUGCAUGGCUGUCGU
This 263-nucleotide ribosomal RNA is filed under the name uncultured bacterium. RNAcentral's name for it is "partial 16S ribosomal RNA". It matches the Rfam family "Bacterial small subunit ribosomal RNA", at positions 793 to 1055 of the family's 1533-position model. The record is from RNAcentral.